RNAcentral lists this ribosomal RNA (360 nucleotides) under uncultured bacterium. RNAcentral describes it as "partial 16S ribosomal RNA". It matches the Rfam family "Bacterial small subunit ribosomal RNA", at positions 338 to 690 of the family's 1533-position model. The record is from RNAcentral.
CCUACGGGAGGCAGCAGUGGGGAAUAUUGCGCAAUGGGCGAAAGCCUGACGCAGCGACGCCGCGUGAGGGAUGAAGGUCUUCGGAUCGUAAACCUCUGUCAGCAGGGAAGAACGGUCACUGUGCUAAUCAGCAGUAAAUUCACGGUACCUGCAAAGGAAGCACCGGCUAACUCCGUGCCAGCAGCCGCGGUUAUACGGAGGGUGCGAGCGUUAAUCGGAAUUACUGGGCGUAAAGCGGUCGUUGGAGGGAGGUCAAGUCAAGGGUGAAAUGCCCGCGCGCAACGUGGGAAACGCCUUUGAAAACGGCAAACCGGAGUGUGUGAGAGGAUAGUGGAAAUCCAGGGGGAGGCGUGAAAACCG